Molecule: ribosomal RNA, 250 nt
Filed under: uncultured bacterium
Lineage: Bacteria
Description: partial 16S ribosomal RNA
Rfam family: Bacterial small subunit ribosomal RNA
Source: RNAcentral
UACAGAGGUGGCAAGCGUUGUUCGGAAUUACUGGGCGUAAAGGGCGCGUAGGCGGUCUUGUAAGUCUUGUGUGAAAUCCCUCGGCUCAACUGAGGAACUGCACGGGAUACUGCGAGACUUGAGUUCGGGAGAGGGAAGCGGAAUUCCGGGUGUAGCGGUGAAAUGCGUAGAUAUCCGGAGGAACACCGGUGGCGAAGGCGGCUUCCUGGACCGAUCACUGACGCUGAGGCGCGAAAGCUAGGGGAGCAAA